GAUGAACGCUGGCGGCGUGCCUAAUACAUGCAAGUCGAACGCAUAGCGAAAGGUGCUUGCACCUUUCAAGUGAGUGGCGAACGGGUGAGUAACACGUGGACAACCUGCCUCAAGGCUGGGGAUAACAUUUGGAAACAGAUGCUAAUACCGAAUAAAACUUAGUGUCGCAUGACACAAAGUUAAAAGGCGCUUCUGCGUCACCUAGAGAUGGAUCCGCGGUGCAUUAGUUAGUUGGUGGGGUAAAGGCCUACCAAGACAACGAUGCAUAGCCGAGUUGAGAGGAUGAUCAGCCACACUGGGAGUGGGCAGCGGCCCAGACUCCUACGGGAUGCAGCAGUGGGGAAUAUUGGACAAUGGGCGAAAGCCUGAUCCAGCAAGUACGCGUGAGUGAUGAAAGCGUUAGGGUUGGAAAGCGCUUUUACCCGUGAUGAUAAUGACAGUACCGGGAGAAUAAGCGCCGGCUAACUCCGUG
RNAcentral lists this ribosomal RNA (472 nucleotides) under uncultured bacterium. Its description in RNAcentral is "partial 16S ribosomal RNA". It matches the Rfam family "Bacterial small subunit ribosomal RNA", at positions 28 to 507 of the family's 1533-position model. The record is from RNAcentral.